Molecule: long non-coding RNA, 162 nt
Organism: Bombus impatiens (common eastern bumble bee)
Lineage: Eukaryota; Metazoa; Arthropoda; Insecta; Hymenoptera; Apidae
Exons: 3
Source: RefSeq, a predicted model, not a curated record
AAAUUUUGUUUGGUCUUUUAACACUUUACCGACCGCUAGCAGUUCAACAGCAUACGCACGUCCGACCGGCAGUUCAGGCGCAGAUUCUCCCUGGCGCCGGUUCUGUUUCGGUUUAGACUCUCCAAUACCAUUCUUUUCGUACAUCGCGAACGGUAAGUUUUU